GUGAAAACAGUUAAGUUAAUUUGGAAAACAUCCCAUGAACUGACCAGACAAAAGAUGUGCGUCUCUUCUUAUACCUGGAGCAGGAGUUGCAGGACACCAGCCCUCAAGGGCCUAGAUUGCCCACCUCUGACCUGGAGGAAAAUAUCUAGCCAUUUGUUCGUGACCUCAAGCUGAAACAAACUUGGAUUCUGCAGCAGGACAUUGAUUCAAAACACACCAGUAAGUCCACAUUAGAGUUCAUGGAAAUCAAACUCAGGAAUUUUAGUUCCUGAAAACAAACAUUUUUCAGGAACUAAACAUUUUUCGUUCCUGAAUUAAAACAGCAACAACUUUCUGCUGUUCAACAAAAAGUCGUUGUUGAACAGCAACUUCUUGCUAACUUUUGUCUAAAUAUAUGAAGGAAAAAUGAGUAAGUAAAAAAAAAUUUAAAAAAGGCAUAUUGAAGAUAUUUCCACAGAAUAUAAAAACACUUUUUGGCUGCUAUGUUUCCACUCUAUUUCCACUUGAAGUGAAGAGCUUCACAUGACACUGGAUUGCCAAAGACUAGCUCGGAUAAAGAUUUUCUCAUUUAGUUACAAAAAGUGGUGUUGGAGCGGCCACAAGUAGGUGUGAUCUAGAACUUUUUGGGAUGGUGAAUAUUUUUUUUUUCUGUUCUUUGGUCUUCAAUUUUCUACUUUGGCUUUGUUUGCACAACACCAAAACAUUCUCUUUCCAUCCACAUCGUACGCCGAUGUCUCGAAUGACGUUCCCAACAUGUUUGAAAUUCAAGUUUUACUUGAAGUUUGAUUCAAUAAAAGUUUUUAAAGAUGUUUUA
Molecule: long non-coding RNA, 814 nt
Organism: Xiphophorus couchianus (Monterrey platyfish)
Lineage: Eukaryota; Metazoa; Chordata; Actinopteri; Cyprinodontiformes; Poeciliidae
Exons: 2
Source: RefSeq, a predicted model, not a curated record